Molecule: long non-coding RNA, 1152 nt
Organism: Salvelinus namaycush (lake trout)
Lineage: Eukaryota; Metazoa; Chordata; Actinopteri; Salmoniformes; Salmonidae
Exons: 2
Source: RefSeq, a predicted model, not a curated record
UAAAACGUUACUGGAGACAGGAGACCAAGUUGAGACACAGGACGAGGUGGAUAAGGUAUAAUAAAGGCAGUUUAUUCAGAGGUAAAGAUAUCUUGGAAAGCGUGCACGGACUCGUUCGUCAAACUCGUAGGGAGCUAUCUGAAGAGAGCCCCGAAACAUUGUGUGCAGUUACAUUUUAUACAUUGUCUUGACGUAGGUAGGUUCCGGUAGUCUGUGCUCCUGACUGGUCAAUGAGGGUUGAGGAAAGUCCCGACGCUGUUGCUGUGUAGAUUACGCUCCCUCACCCCAAAGACUGAGGUCAGACAGUUUCUGCAAUACUGUCUGAGCUAUUCGCACCCGUAUACAAUGGCCACUGUUCGCUCAAGGCUAACCACAGCUUCCCAGCUUCUUAUCUGAGCUAACUGUUACUUCCAGCACACACACACAUUUCAGACUGCUUGUUCAUAUCUUAUGCUCAGAUACAUUUGUUGCAAUUUCAGGCUGUGGCCUCAUGGUUAGACAAAGCACUGGUAAGAGUAGAGACUAAUGGGAAAUGCAGUAGUUAUAACAGGUUCUAAGUAGUUAUAACAGGUUCUAACAGUUCAACGCUGUUAAUUAAGGAUAUUAUUUAUUACACGCCUCCAUUUGAAAUUGAGGGUUAUGGUGUAGGGGUUACCGGCCGACCAUCAUCACCAUCGCUGACUUUGGAGUCAAGCAAAAGCGACUGAACGGAGGAGGCGAUGCAAUGGAGCCAGAGGAAAGAACAGUUAGUACAGCAUACAAAACUGACCCCUGGGUGCCAGAGUGUUCCUGUGCUGUGGUGGAGAAGAGGUCCACGGGACCAUCACUAAAGAGCUCGGGGCCCAGCUAAAUUGCACUCACGACCAUCAGUAUACAGCCGAGUCCUGCCCCUAAAUGCCACAGAUGGAGCUGACGGAGAGUGAGAUCAGUGAAGACAAUAACUGUAUGAACCUGAGAGCUCAGAAUCACAAUGAUCACAGUGCGAGCCGAGAUAUACUAUCGAUCACAUUGGGGGAGCGGACUGGUGUUCCGAAAAUGGAGAAGGAGCAGGCCUUUCAACAGCGAAUUCAAAGAUACACCCAUCCAUAAAGGGAAUCUGAGUGGAAUUGUUUUUCCACUGAUUUUGAAUAAAUAAAUAACAAUUUAAUUGGA